CGUAGGGGGCAAGCGUUGUCCGGAUUUAUUGGGCGUAAAGAGCGUGUAGGCGGCCGCACAGGUCCGUUGUGAAAACUGGAGGCUUAACCUUCAGACGUCGAUGGAAACCGUGCGGCUAGAGUCCGGAAGAGGAGAAUGGAAUUCCUGGUGUAGCGGUGAAAUGCGCAGAUAUCAGGAAGAACACCCGUGGCUAAGGCGGUUCUCUAGUACGGUACUGACGCUGAGACGCGAAAGCGUGGGGAGCGAACAGGAUUAGAUACCCUGGUAGUCCACGCCGUAAACGAUGGGUGCUAGGUGUGGGGGUGUCGACUCCCCCGUGCCGAAGCUAACGCAUUAAGCACCCCGCCUGGGGAGUACGGCCGCAAGGCU
This 369-nucleotide ribosomal RNA is filed under the name uncultured organism. Its description in RNAcentral is "bacterial SSU rRNA". It matches the Rfam family "Bacterial small subunit ribosomal RNA", at positions 526 to 895 of the family's 1533-position model. The record is from RNAcentral.